GAUGAACGCUGGCGGCGUGCCUAAUACAUGCGAGUCGAGCGAACAGACGAGGAGCUUGCUCCUCUGACGUUAGCGGCGGACGGGUGAGUAACACGUGGAUAACCUACCUAUAAGACUGGGAUAACUUCGGGAAACCGGAGCUAAUACCGGAUAAUAUAUUGAACCGCAUGGUUCAAUAGUGAAAGACGGUUUUGCUGUCACUUAUAGAUGGAUCCGCGCCGCAUUAGCUAGUUGGUAAGGUAACGGCUUACCAAGGCAACGAUGCGUAGCCGACCUGAGAGGGUGAUCGGCCAAACUGGAACUGAGACACGGUCCAGACUCAUACGGGAGGCAGCAGUAGGGAAUCUUCCGCAAUGGGCGAAAGCCUGACGGAGCAACGCCGCGUGAGUGAUGAAGGUCUUCGGAUCGUAAAACUCUGUUAUUAGGGAAGAACAAAUGUGUAAGUAACUAUGCACGUCUUGACGGUACCUAAUCAGAAAGCCACGGCUAACUACGUG
Molecule: ribosomal RNA, 497 nt
Filed under: uncultured bacterium
Lineage: Bacteria
Description: partial 16S ribosomal RNA
Rfam family: Bacterial small subunit ribosomal RNA
Source: RNAcentral